Molecule: long non-coding RNA, 325 nt
Filed under: Ananas comosus (pineapple)
Lineage: Eukaryota; Viridiplantae; Streptophyta; Magnoliopsida; Poales; Bromeliaceae
Description: long non-coding RNA (ACOM_LNC035164)
Source: RNAcentral
ACCCGGCGAGUUUUAAAAAUCCAUAUCCAUAUCCGUACCCGACCAAAAGCCUGAAACCCGUACCCGGAUCCGGACUCGGCGGGUUUUAAAAAUCUAUACCGUUAAAUAAAAAUCUAAGUGAUAAAAAAUUAUUAAAUAUUUUACAUAUUAUAUAAAUGGCCAAUUUGCAUAAAAAAUUCACUUAUUUUGGGCUUUUGCAAAACGGGACCAUCUUUUUCGUUCUUGCCGAUUCGAUCUGCUUUUUCAGCAAACUGACUAAAAUAUCCUUAUUAUUUUUUCUCUUUCCUCUUUCUCUCUCCUCUUCGUUUCUCUCUUUUUUUUUUUU